RNAcentral lists this long non-coding RNA (679 nucleotides) under Salvia miltiorrhiza (redroot sage). Its description in RNAcentral is "long non-coding RNA (SMIL_LNC005948)". The record is from RNAcentral. Lineage: Eukaryota; Viridiplantae; Streptophyta; Magnoliopsida; Lamiales; Lamiaceae.
UAGGGCUGAGCAUCGGUUCAAAACCGAACCGAACCGAACCAAUUUCACAAAACCGAAACCGAACCGACAUAGGUAGUACACGGACCGAACCGAACCGCCUGGAGCCCGAAAACCGACCAUAACCGAACCGGUCGAAACCGAUCGGUUUCGGUCGGUUACCAAACCGACCGAUUUGCCCAAUUUUUUGAAAAACAGCCUGUAAUAUUCGAAAAAAAAUAUAAAAAUCUGCCCAAAUCAAACCCCAAUCUAUGCAUUCAUUCGAUUUACCAACCACCAAAAUUCGAAAAAAAAAACUGACCAAAACAAACUUCAAAUUUUAAUCGAAAAAACAACAAAAAUUCGAUUUACCUUUCGGACGAGGGGAGAAAGGUGACGGGUGGAGGUCUGCGUGACUGCGUCAGGCUUCAGCGGCGGAGGAGAAGCCGAUCUGGAGUCCUGGACGGCGGGUCUGGGCCGUCUGGCUCGUGCUGGAGACGUCAGACGCAGCGGGGGGCGGCCGGCGGUCUGCUCGUGCUGGUCUGCUCGUGCUACCGUGCGCGAAGAAUGGAGGCGACGCGGGCAGGUGGUGGUCGCCGGUCCUAAAACCGAAACCGAACCGAUACAUGAUCGGUUUUUUACUCUUAAAACCGAACCGAAAACCGAACCAGAAAUUCCAAAACCGAACCGAACCAAAAAUGGU